AUUUUAAUGUGUUCUCUCUCUCUCUCCGCCUGUUACAACAGUCGUUCCUUUGUAGCUCGCCUGGAAAGGAGAUAAUCUGCAUAAUGUUGCCUUUGCCGCACUGGAUCAAUGCCAGGCAUCAGGAGAUCUGCUUUGAAGGCCAUUUUCCCGGAUCAGGCACUGGCGUGUCUCCACCCUCUGUGUGAGACUGGCAUAAGCUGAGCUCUCUGGCCAAACCCCUGGCUCCUGAAUGGGAACAGCUGCUUUGUUCUACUUGAGCACCGAGUUCUCGUCAGACGGGUGUGGAUGGAAAGGCAAGAUCUGCAUCCUGAUGCUUGACUCUCACCAGAAUGUUGGCUGUCUUUCCUCAGGCCUGAAUCUAAGCCUUGCCCAGGUCAGAGGGCAUCAGCUACUGGAUCUGCUACUGUCAGCUUGGCAUACUAUUGAGGAAAACUCCCUCCAUGAUCACUUUGCAGGAUGGGCAGUUGGUUCUCAUCUUCAUGUGAUCAUGUUGGUGUCUUCUGGAUUCUCUUGUUUCCUUCAUCUCUCAAAAAUAUUUCGGUAGGUGGUGUCCUACAAUGUAUUGGCAUACUAGCCUGGGUGAAUUCCUGUCUCAUACCCAGUGUUCCUGGGAAAGGCUCCAGAUGCACCACAACCCUGACCAGGAUAAAGCAGUUGCUGAAGAUGUAUGAAUGAAAGAAUGUUGAGCAAAAACUCUGGUAUCAUUAUACAGAAUGCAAAUGAAAGGUCAUGGAACUCUCCUUUUUGACUUCCUUUUUUACUUGUGUUUGGUCAUGUCUUCUGGUCUUUGUUUGCUCUUAUGUUCAUAGUGUGUUUCCUUCAGCAUAUUGUGAUAGCAUUUUAGUCAUACUAUAAUAUUUAUUUAUUUGCAUGAGUAAAGCUUUACUCACAAAGUCUGUAAUUUUAGUGUGUAGUCUUCUUGCUUCUAUUUGCUAAUUUCUUUGUUCCACAUGAUAUCCUGUAACCUUUGAACUGCCACUUGAUAGACAAACCUACAAGCUUAUGCCAAGAAAUCCUGGUCUUCUUUACAAUCCUAUUCGAUUAUAAUAAAUGCACUUGCAGUUUGCUCACAAAGCAAUUCAUACUGUCAGAGUUUGCUAUGUUACAUUCUAAUAUAAAAAAAAGGUCAAAUGUUCCACAACAAACUAAAUUGUUUCUUACUCAUAAUAUUUUUGAUAAAAAAAAUGUAUUAGGCAUUAAUUGUGAAUUUAUUUUGAUUUUUUUUAUCUUUGAUUAAAACCCAGAAUUCAUACUGACUACA
Silurus meridionalis is the source of this 1261-nucleotide long non-coding RNA. RefSeq lists it as uncharacterized. The transcript is spliced from 2 exons. The record is from RefSeq and is a predicted model, not a curated record. NCBI's taxonomy places the organism in Eukaryota, Metazoa, Chordata, Actinopteri, Siluriformes, Siluridae.